Molecule: ribosomal RNA, 245 nt
Filed under: uncultured bacterium
Lineage: Bacteria
Description: partial 16S ribosomal RNA
Rfam family: Bacterial small subunit ribosomal RNA
Source: RNAcentral
CGAGCGCUUCACUUCAGUGAGGAGCGGCGGACGGGUUAGUAACGCGUGGGAACAUACCCUUUUCUAAGGAAUAGCCACUGGAAACGGUGAGUAAUACCUUAUACGCCCUUCGGGGGAAAGAUUUAUCGGUGAAGGAUUGGCCCGCGUUAGAUUAGUUAGUUGGUGGGGUAAUGGCCUACCAAGACUACGAUCUAUAGCUGGUUUGAGAGGAUGAUCAGCAACACUGGGACUGAGACACGGCCCAG